Non-coding RNA from Delphinapterus leucas (beluga whale), 1656 nucleotides. Lineage: Eukaryota; Metazoa; Chordata; Mammalia; Artiodactyla; Monodontidae. The record is from RefSeq and is a predicted model, not a curated record.
GGGUUGCUGGGCUUGUGUAACCGUGCCUAGAGGGCGGGGUUCCUGUACAUUCCCACUUCACCAGAUAACCUGCCCCCAACACCACUCCAGCUUCUGCCAGACAGAUGGAACUCUCCAACAUGAAAAUCUGCGCAGCCAUUCCAACAAGCAGGACUGUGCCUGAGGUUGCCCGAAGGAUGCCGAGGAAAAAGACUUAAGGACUGAGAGUGCUCUUACCCCAAGAUCGGAUGAAGAUGGAAUCCAUUUCAGUCUGAAAUUUGUGUUUCACGGCUGCAGUUGGGACAUUCCUCUGAUUUCUUGUUUCACUGUUAGAUGGAUGAUCUGUUCCUGUCCAACUCGUGUUCUAAUAGAGACUCCCUUGGUCUAAUAUGGUAGGUCUUUUUAAUGUCAUUGAGUACUUUUGUGUCCACUCCUCUUCAUUGCUAUGGGCAUGUUCCCCUUGGACACUGUUCCCAAGUAAAUCAACCUGGGAAGGAGGCUGGGAGCAGAGGCAGACAUGUGAAGGGAUUCUUGAGUAGAAGGACCUGGUGCCUUCUGUCUGGAGUUCUGCUGGUGAAUAGGCAAGUUGUCGUAUUUGGGAGUCACGUUCACAAAGCUAAGGAGUUUGAGAGGGGCAAAGUAACUUAGGUUUCAUGAAUCCAAAGAGAACACUGGCCCUGAGGAACUCAGGUUAUUGGGCAAGAAACAAAAAUUAGAAAUUAGGGCCCCCUGGAUGAACUCUUGAUUCCUUUAGGGAUGGAGGGAUGGAAAGGGGACAAUAAAGUGUAGGGAGUAGAAGUGGAGGGAGGAGACCAGGUUGAAGAUGUUAGCAGCCAGUGGGACUCUAGCUGGUAAAGCUGACCCAUCUCCUUAGGAGGAGGGAGAUGUGUUUUUGUCAAUUGUAAACUUGCCAAGGUUUAUUGUUCUGGGUUCAAGAACAGCCACCAGUUCCUGAGACUAGGCUGGAAAGAAUCUGCCAGUGAGUCUGUACCUGCAGGCAUCUAACUCUCCUCUCAGCCCAAUGUUCUCCCUAUCUCCUGAGCCCCCUGUGCACCCCACCCCCAAGAAAAAGGAAAUGAAAGAAAAUAAAAAGUAGAUGGGGAGGGAAUUAGACUCAUUUUUUUUUUCAGGCAGAUGUUGGGGUUAAAGCAGGUUGUUUGGUAACUGCUUUCAUUUUGGAGGGGAAAGAAAGCUGGUUAGGAGAGAAAGGGUGGUUGUGGGAGAGAAGAGCAGAGAAUGAGAUAGAAAUUCCUCGGCAGCCCAGCAGCUAGGGCCAAAUGGAAAACAACCUUAGCAACAGAAGUACAGUUUGAGAGGAAGGAAGGGUGAUCAUAAAACGUUUUUGCAUUGUUCUGUUCCUGCAAAUUAAUGUAGCCCUGAAAAUUUAUAAGAAAAUGAGAUCUUCAUACCUUGUUAAAAAACAAUUACAAAAAGAAAGGCAUAACUAUCAAUAGCCACUUUUGUCCUCAAAAAAACUUUUUUCUUUAGAUAUUGCUGUAUACACACAAUCCAUAACUAAACCAAACGGUAGCUGAAGGAAGAAAGGGAGGGGGAAAAAAAGAAGGACGCAACUUCCCUGCUGGUCGUACUGUGCAUCUAUCUCUUCACCUUUCAUAGCAGGGAGGUUGAACAAUCUUUUUUCAUUUCCGUCUAGUCUUUUCACUUAAAAAUGUAUGA